This 253-nucleotide ribosomal RNA is filed under the name uncultured bacterium. RNAcentral's name for it is "partial 16S ribosomal RNA". It matches the Rfam family "Archaeal small subunit ribosomal RNA", at positions 474 to 727 of the family's 1478-position model. The record is from RNAcentral.
UACCAGCACCCCGAGGAGUCGGGACGUUUAUUGGGCCUAAAGCAUCCGUAGCCGGUUCUACAAGUCUUCCGUUAAAUCCACCUGCUUAACAGAUGGGCUGCGGAAGAUACUAUGGAGCUAGGAGGCGGGAGAGGCAAGCGGUACUCGAUGGGUAGGGGUAAAAUCCGUUGAUCCAUUGAAGACCACCAGUGGCGAAGGCGGCUUGCCAGAACGCGCUCGACGGUGAGGGAUGAAAGCUGGGGGAGCAAACCGG